Molecule: ribosomal RNA, 253 nt
Filed under: uncultured bacterium
Lineage: Bacteria
Description: partial 16S ribosomal RNA
Rfam family: Bacterial small subunit ribosomal RNA
Source: RNAcentral
UACGGAGGGUGCAAGCGUUGUCCGGAUUUAUUGGGUUUAAAGGGUGCGUAGGCGGCCCUGUAAGUCAGUGGUGAAAGCCUCCAGCUCAACUGGAGAACUGCCAUUGAUACUGCAGGGCUUGAGUACAGACGAGGUUGGCGGAAUUGAUAGUGUAGCGGUGAAAUGCAUAGAUACUACCAAGAACUCCGAUUGCGUAGGCAGCUAACUAGGCUGUAACUGACGCUGAGGCACGAAAGCGUGGGGAGCGAACAGG